GGGCGAAACGGGUCGGUUUGAAUUUCUCAAAUUGGGCUUUCGGGCUUACAAGUUAGCCCAAACUAAUCCCAGCCCAUCUUUUCUCGUCUUCCUCAGGUUCCAUGGCCGUCUUCUGUGGACAGUGAUAAACUCCAAAUAAGAGAAAGUUCUGGUCUUUCUCAAGUACUAUUGUCAUUGGAAUACUUUGUUUGAUGAGACCAAUCAGGCUUCCCAGCCCGCCAAGCGGCCGGUUUCCGGGCACGCCUGAGAUGUUUGACAGUGGAUUACACGGUGUGAUUAGACGGGCGGUUAUAAUCGGUAAUGGAUUCGCGGGCGCAGAGAAUCAGUGUCUUGGCUUGGUUCGCGCUCUUGGCCUCUCCUCUUGCUAUUCGCUAUACCGAGUUAUUAGGCCAAGAGGAGGCAUUAACAGGUGGCUUCGUUGGCUUCCAGUUUCUGUACAUAAAAGUGUAGACUAUCUAAUAAGGAGUAUUUAUGGAGAUAAUUUUAAAUAUGAAGGAAAUGCGAAUGGCCAAAAAAUGGUGCCUUCUUCAACUGAAAGAACUGGAUUGUUAGAUAUAUUAGAAGCAGAUGCCAAGCGGAUUGCAAGAAUGGCUCGUGAUACGUUUGAUGAGAAUGGUCCACUAUUGGUAGUAGCAUCUGGCCGAGAUACCAUUUCAGUAGCAAGCUCCAUAAGGCAAUUAGCUCCAAAGAAUGUUUUUGUUGUUCAGAUACAACAUCCAAGAUCACACCUGAAUAUGUUUGAUUUAGUUAUAACUCCUUGCCAUGAUUAUUAUCACUUGACUCCUGACGGUCAGAAGCAAAUCCCCUGGUUUCUCAGAAGGUGGAUAACUCCACAUCACCCUCCUGAUAGGCAUGUGUUUCUUACUGUGGGAGCUCUUCAUCAGGCUGAUUCUCCUGCACUGAGAAGUGCAGCUUCUCUUUGGCAUGAUGAGUUGGCGCGGCUUCUGAAGCCCGUGCUUGUUGUCAACAUUGGAGGGCCUACUGGCAACUGUGAGUACGGUAUAGAUCUUGCAAAGCAGUUAACAGAUAUGCUGCAGAAAGUGCUUUGGAGUUGUGGAAGUGUUAGAAUAUCUUUUUCUAGAAGAACCCCUGAGAAGGUGUCCAAGAUUUUAGGGAAAGAAUUUGGUAAUAAUCCUAAGGUUUACAUUUGGAAUGGUGAAGGUGCAAAUCCACAUGUGGGGCAUCUAGCUUGGGCUGAUGCUUUCGUUAUCACAGCUGAUUCAGUAAGCAUGUUGAGUGAGGCUUGUAGCACCGGGAAGCCUGUCUAUGUUAUAGGAGCUGAACGGUGCACGUGGAAGUUUGCUGACUUCCAAAAGAGAUUGCAGGAACUUGGAGUGGUUAGACCAUUCACUGGGAAAGAGGAUGUGAGUUGCCAUCUAUCUCACCCUCUGAUUUGCUGCUGCUUUAUUAGAAGAUGCUGAGUGUAUUUAUUCAUAGAAAUCUGCAAUGAAUAGUUUUAAUUUGCUGUCUGCACUAAGAUAUCUGAGACCUGGAGUUAUCCUCCCUUGAAUGACACUGCAGAAGCUGCUCGUCGGGUUAUUAAUGCGCUUGCUGAGCGUGGAUGGACAAUACAAGCAUGAUGCAUUGUUUCAGCCAACAUUAGGCAUGAGCUAUCUUUAUAUUACAAAGCAUAGAAUUGCUUCCUCUCUGAGGCAAUUUUUUGCUGGUAUUUCUAUAUUUACUGAAAGUAGUUAACUUCUAAUCUAACAUGUCUAACUGACACCUAUGUUAAGUAUUUUUCAAUUCAUCUUACCAUACUAGUUUUUUAGUUUGGUGUCAACUAGGAUCUAAUGAAUUCAGAGCUUUACAAUGAAGUAGAAGCAGCAACGCAAAUUCUUUAAAA
Jatropha curcas is the source of this 1843-nucleotide RNA transcript. It is a transcript of the gene named mitochondrial fission protein ELM1, with no coding region annotated. The record is from RefSeq and is a predicted model, not a curated record. Lineage: Eukaryota; Viridiplantae; Streptophyta; Magnoliopsida; Malpighiales; Euphorbiaceae.